GUGGGGAAUCUUAGACAAUGGGGGAAACCCUGAUCUAGCCAUGCCGCGUGAGCGAUGAAGGCCUUAGGGUUGUAAAGCUCUUUCAGCUGGGAAGAUAAUGACUGUACCAGCAGAAGAAGCCCCGACUAACUCCGUGCCAGCAGCCGCGGUAAUACGGAGGGGGCUAGCGUUGUUCGGAAUUACUGGGCGUAAAGCGCACGUAGGCGGACCGGAAAGUCAGAGGUGAAAUCCCAGGGCUCAACCUUGGAACUGCCUUUGAAACUCCUGUUCUUGAGUUCGAGAGAGGUGAGUGGAAUUCCGAGUGUAGAGGUGAAAUUCGUAGAUAUUCGGAGGAACACCAGUGGCGAAGGCGGCUCACUGGCUCGAUACUGACGCUGAGGUGCGAAAGCGUGGGGAGCAAACAGGAUUAGAAACCCUUGUAGUCC
RNAcentral lists this ribosomal RNA (425 nucleotides) under uncultured bacterium. RNAcentral describes it as "partial 16S ribosomal RNA". It matches the Rfam family "Bacterial small subunit ribosomal RNA", at positions 354 to 796 of the family's 1533-position model. The record is from RNAcentral.